CAUGCCUACAAAGUUUGGACUUCGGACUAGGAGUAGCCAAUAAUUAAAAGCUGGCCAUGAUUAAAGGACGACAGAGCGAGGUCAAACGCUCUACGAUGGUGAGAUCAUUCUUUCGUCUUUUCCGAGCAAUGAUACCUGGCCGGAGGGACAAACUUUGCCGUUGUUCGUUCCACACAUUUAAUUUCAUUGUCGCUUGCGUACUAUAGCUCCACUUCACAGUAUAUUCACAUGCUCCAACUCUUUUAUUUAGACUCCAGUAGUCCAAUUGUUUUUUUUUUGAUUAAAACUGGAGGGGCAGAGCACCCCUACAGUGCUUCAUUGAAAAUAGAAAACAGUUUCACCCGAGAACAAAAAAACAGGGGGGGGGGGGAAUUAGGAGACAAAAAAAGAAAUAAAGAAAAUAUAACAAGAAAUGACCAAGAAAAGUGCUAAAGAAGAUUUGCUGUCCA
Molecule: long non-coding RNA, 449 nt
Filed under: Sorghum bicolor (sorghum)
Lineage: Eukaryota; Viridiplantae; Streptophyta; Magnoliopsida; Poales; Poaceae
Description: long non-coding RNA (SBIC_LNC016872)
Source: RNAcentral